AAGUGAUUAGCUCAACAGGUAGAGUAUUUUGUUUACACCAAAAUGGUUAAGGGUUCGAAUCCCUUAUUACUUA
Molecule: transfer RNA, 73 nt
Filed under: Pyropia kanakaensis
Lineage: Eukaryota; Rhodophyta; Bangiophyceae; Bangiales; Bangiaceae
Description: tRNA-Val
Rfam family: tRNA
About the family: Transfer RNA (tRNA) molecules are approximately 80 nucleotides in length. Their secondary structure includes four short double-helical elements and three loops (D, anti-codon, and T loops).
Source: RNAcentral